GUGCACAAGUGAGCAACCCUUGAUGAUUUUGUUUGCUUACACCAUUUCUUCCUCUAUGUUGAGGAAGAACAGAGGUGUUCCGUGAGGCCCUGGAAGUCAAGGGAGCAGGGACGGACCAGGCUGCGGGCUGUCCUAGCUGAGGAAACCCAGGAAGAAGAAAAAAAAAAAUCUUUUCCCCCUAAGUCUCUGUUUCAGUCCUGAUGAAGGAUCCUGAUUGCUUCUGAUUAYGUCCCAUGCUGUAUCGUGAACCACUGCUAUUGCCAGGAAAAAUGUUCUUUGCUGUUGCUGAGAGCUCUUGUUGCAGGCUCUGCUUUGGAGAGGGAGCCCAGGCUGAGACAGGAGUGACUCCAGAAAGCUGACUCUCAGGCUGGAUUCCAGAACUGGUUCACUUGCCAAUCAUCCUUAGCUGGUAGUAGGGACAACUGGAGCUGACUUCAUUACCCUGCUGGAGUGGCUUCUAAAUGAAGACAGCACAUAAUAAAUGACGUGGGGAAGCUCAAACUUCCUUGGCAAAGAACUAAGAAAAGUGCCAGAAGUUCUAAGAAGAGUCCCUGUUGAGUGUCUUGCAUGUCUAGAAUGAGACUUUGAGCCUGUUGAAAAGUUGGAGAACAAUUGAAUAGAGAAUCGAUGCCAACUCUGRAAUCUCCAAGACUACGGAGUCUGUUUGGUUUGAAAUAUGGGAUUUGGAACCCACAGUAAAG
This is a long non-coding RNA of Urocitellus parryii (Arctic ground squirrel), 701 nucleotides long. RefSeq lists it as uncharacterized. The record is from RefSeq and is a predicted model, not a curated record. NCBI's taxonomy places the organism in Eukaryota, Metazoa, Chordata, Mammalia, Rodentia, Sciuridae.